Molecule: ribosomal RNA, 376 nt
Filed under: uncultured bacterium
Lineage: Bacteria
Description: bacterial SSU rRNA
Rfam family: Bacterial small subunit ribosomal RNA
Source: RNAcentral
GACGAACGCUGGCGGCGUGCUUAACACAUGCAAGUCGAACGGAAAGGCCCUUUUCGGGGGUGCUCGAGUGGCGAACGGGUGAGUAACACGUGGGUGAUCUGCCCUCGCACUUCGGGAUAAGCUUGGGAAACUAGGGUCUAAUACCGGAUAGGACCAUGGGAUGCAUGUCUUGUGGUGGAAAGCUUUUUGUUGGUGUGGGAUGGGCCCGCGGCCUAUCAGCUUGUUGGUGGGGUGAUGGCCUACCAAGGCGACGACGGGUAGCCGGCCUGAGAGGGUGUCCGGCCACACUGGGACUGAGAUACGGCCCAGACUCCUACGGGAGGCAGCGAGUGGGGAAUAUUGCACAAUGGGCGUAAGCCUGAUGCAGCGGCGCCGC